This is a long non-coding RNA of Canis lupus familiaris (dog), 715 nucleotides long. RefSeq lists it as uncharacterized. The record is from RefSeq and is a predicted model, not a curated record. The transcript has 6 exons. Lineage: Eukaryota; Metazoa; Chordata; Mammalia; Carnivora; Canidae.
GCGGGGCGGCCUCGGUCCGGCUCUGGAGAGGCUAUAAAAGGAACUGCUGGAGGCGCAGCUCGGUCUUUUGCGUCUGGACUUGGGAGGCGCUGCUCCGGUGGAAGGAACAAUGGCUCUCGGUGGUGUAAUGAAGCUGCUCUCUGAAGAUGAUGAGCUGCAAAGGAAAACUCCAACAAAACACGUGAGAGAGUAUUUGCUGGGAAAUUACUUGGUCGAAACCUGACAGUCUUAACACAGCUUCCUGGGGAUUGAUCACAAUGGACCUAUAGAUGUCACUGACUAGCAACCUCAUUUUAAAUGUGGUGGGGUCGCUGUCUGCCCAUGGAAAGAGGCCAGUUUGUUGGAACCUUCCGAAGGUGUAACCCAUCCCCGGCUAAUGCCACGAGAUUUACUUGUAUGAAAAACUGAUGAAGAACAGCUCCUUUUACUGAUAUUGAAAGAAAACCUACAAAUCAAGACAACAUAUUGAUUUUUUUUUUUAAUUUUUGUAAACAGAUUAUAAAGCAGCAUCUAAUCUAAUGUAUCCAUAAGAAGCAAUUCCUGGGUGGCUCAGUCGGUUAAUUGUCUGCCUUCAGCUCAGGUCAUGAUCCCAAGGCCCUGGGAUCAAGUCCAUCAGGCUCCAUGCUCCAAGUGGAGUCUGCUUCUCCCGCUCGCUCCUCCCCCUGCUUGUUCUUUGUCAAAUAAAGUCUUUUCAAAGUAAAUGAUUGUAAUUAAA